Molecule: ribosomal RNA, 484 nt
Filed under: uncultured bacterium
Lineage: Bacteria
Description: partial 16S ribosomal RNA
Rfam family: Bacterial small subunit ribosomal RNA
Source: RNAcentral
AUUGAACGCUGGCGGCAGGCCUAACACAUGCAAGUCGAGCGGAUGAAGGGAGCUUGCUCCUGGAUUCAGCGGCGGACGGGUGAGUAAUGCCUAGGAAUCUGCCUGGUAGUGGGGGAUAACGUCCGGAAACGGGCGCUAAUACCGCAUACGUCCUGAGGGAGAAAGGGGGGGAUCUUCGGACCUCACGCUAUCAGAUGAGCCUAGGUCGGAGUAGCUAGUUGGUGGGGUAAAGGCCUACCAAGGCGACGAUCCGUAACUGGUCGGAGAGGAUGAUCAGUCACACUGGAACUGAGACACGGUCCAGACUCCUACGGGAGGCAGCAGUGGGGAAUAUUGGACAAUGGGCGAAAGCCUGAUCCAGCCAUGCCGCGUGUGUGAAGAAGGUCUUCGGAUUGUAAAGCACUUUAAGUUGGGAGGAAGGGCAGUAAGUUAAUACCUUGCUGUUUUGACGUUACCAACAGAAUAAGCACCGGCUAACUUCGUG